GGUCCCAUAGCUCAGUUGGUCAGAGCGUCGUACUAAUAUUCUCCUCUCUUAAGAUGGAAAUAUCCUGUAAUGCGAAGGCCGAGAGUUCAAGCCUCUCUGGGACCA
Annulohypoxylon truncatum is the source of this 105-nucleotide non-coding RNA. NCBI's taxonomy places the organism in Eukaryota, Fungi, Ascomycota, Sordariomycetes, Xylariales, Hypoxylaceae. The record is from the annotation of a RefSeq genome assembly.